UUAUCUUUAGUUUGAUAAUAAAAAAACAAAGAAGUUAUUCAUUGACAUGACAAAAAAUAAAAAAUUAUAAAAAUAUAUCAUAAUAAUCCACUGUUUGAUGAGGGAGGAGAAUAGAAAGAUAUUAUGAAUUAUGAGUACAUUUUGUUUAAAUAUUAAACUAUGGCACAAAAAGUGUAUUUGUGGAAAGGCACAGAAAAAGUGGAUUUAACGUUUGGCGAUGAACCUAAUGGUAUUAUUAAAAAAUUAGUUAAUAUUGAUAAUCGUAUUUUCAUAUCAACGACGACUAACAAUCUCUAUUAUGGUGAAGUAAAUGUUGAGAAAAACCAAUCAUUAUCCGUAAUACUCAAACGAAUUGAUUUUUGUGCCAUUGAUAUUGCGUCGAAUUCGAAGUAUUUAUUUGUUGUUAAUAAUCAUGGUCAUGUAUUAACGGUAGAUCCAAAUAAUUUUCAAGUUAUUGAUAAAAUUAUUAUAAAAGACGAUGUAAAAGUUUGCAGUCAUGGGUACAAGCAAGAAAACGAAACAAUUAGAAUAAAAAAUAUAGCAGUAAGUGACACUGCAAAAUUAUUCGUUAGUGAAAGCGGUCAAUUAUGGGGAAGUGGAGAUCAACCUCAAAUUGAUAUAAAAACUCAAACACCAAAAAAAAUAAUAUUUUUCGAAGAUCGUACAGUAUCUUUGAUAGCAUGCGGUAUAAAUUUCAAUGUCGUGGUAGCUCGAAAAAUUCCAAAAACUACAAAAGACGAUACAGAUAGUGAAAACGACAUUGAUGAAGUAUUUGUUAAUUCUUGUCCACAAUGUUUAAAUAACAUAACAACUCCUCAAAGUUUGACAUCAUCAGAUACUUGCCCAAAUGGUCUUCUUCCUCAAGCAUUCAGCGAAGACCAUUCAAUGAAUUCAGUAAGUCCUAUAUCAUUUAGCGGAAAGAUUGGUCAUCAUUUAACUUCAAAUACAGCAAUUAGCAAUAAUUGUUCUAAGCUUGAUAAUGAUACAGAAACAAUUGAUAAUAAUGAGAAAGAAAAAAAAAAUCCAAUUUUUAUCAAUACAGAAGCGGCGAGACAAUUUUUAACACGACAAUUAUCUUGGGUUUCGUCUUAUAGCAACGGUAAAGAUGAUAGUAAUGAGCACAUAUCUAAUCCCACGGGGCUAAUAAAACAAAAUGUAUCUAAUAUGGCUAAUUUAGUGUAUGAAGGAGUUAAAACAAUGGGAGAUAAAGUUGUAACAUUAUCACGACAUGUAAGUGGAAGCUCAGACAUAAAUAUAAAUGAUUUACAUGAUGAUACAAGGGAAGAUUUUGAACACAAUGAUGAAGAAAGCGGUAAGCCUACGACAACUAACAGCUUAGCCCACAGUUUGAGAUGUGAAGAAUUUCCAUGGUCUUCUAGUACUGCAUCAUUAGAUCAUGAGUUAUCACUACAAGGAUUAAAUGAACGUAUUAAUUCAUUAGUUACAGCAGGAAAUAAUUUACUUUCAACAGAAUUAUGGGCAUAUGGUGAUAUACAUUUUGGCCAAUUGGGUACUGGCGAUAUUAUUAAUAGACCUAAACCAGUUUUAGUGAGUAAAUUGCAUAACACGGGGGUUAAAAAAAUAUCUUGUGGUUCAUUUCAUGCAUUAGCAUUAACGUUGGAUGGAAGAAUUUAUGGAUGGGGUCAAAAUAGUUAUCGACAAAUUUUUCCAAAUGAAACAAAUGAUCAGAGCUCUCCGCAAUUACUUAAUUAUGUUAUUAAUAAUGAUGAUAAUGUUAAAAAACGGGCCAGAGAUUUUUCAUGUGGUACAAAACAUAGUUGUAUAAAUAUUGAUAAUAAUUUAUUUUUUAUUGGAAAAUCAAGUGAUAAUAAUGAAGUUGUAAAAUUAAAUAUAUCCGAUAAUGAUUUGAAAUAUUUUAUUAAAUUUGUGUCAAGUUCUGGUCCAUUUAGUUGUUGCUCAAUAACAAAUCAAGAAAUAAAUAUUAUUACUAAUGAUUUAACAAAUGAACAAAUUUUAUUAGAAGAAAUGAUUAUUGUUCAUCAAAAUUUAAUCAAGCCAUUUCAAAAAAGAAAUGUUGCAAUACAAGAAUCAAAUGCAUAUGAUACAUUAUGUCGGUGUUAUACAGAAUUAAUGAAUUUUAUUGCAUUAAAUGUGUUAAGUUUAUGUGAUUAUUUUAAUUAUAUUAGUGAAGCAUAUGAAGUUAUAUUAGUUGUUAAUGUUGAUGAAUUUAUAACAGUUUAUAAGUAUUAUUUGAAUGCUGUUUGUGAUAUUACAUCACUAGGUGGUUUUGCGCAUAUUGCAAAAUUAAUGAAUGAUUUACCCACAGUUGUUGUGCGAUUAUUUAAGGAUAAAAUUACUACUAAAGAAGCAUCGAAAAAAAUUUCUAGUGAAGAUAUAAUUACAUAUGCAUUUUAUCAUCUUUUGAAACAAUUUAAUAGAUACAAAGUAAUGCUAUCAAAUUUAAUCAAAAGUAAUGGUACAAAUAUGGGUAUUGAGAGACUUCAAGAAGCGUUAGUGAAGUGGGAAAAAUUUUUUGAUGAUUGUGAAAAACGUCAAAAAGAAGCAGACCAAACAAAAGCAUUUUGGGAAAACUCUGGAAAACUGAUUGAACUUCUUCGAUCUCCUGAACGUCGUUUAAUAAGAGAAUCUCGAUCACAUCCAAUUUUACUUUUUCAUUCCAGUAGAUUUUCAUCGCAUUGGUUUAUAUUACUGACUGAUUGCUUUAUUCACGUAGUUGGAACUUCGCAUACAGUACAUUUAUUACCUACUUUGUGGGUUGAAUCUUUACCAGAUUCUGAAACAUUGGUAAAUGCAAUAUCAAUAACAGCACCAGAGGAUAAUUUUAUUAUUUACACUAACACUGCGACAGAAAGAAAUGAAUGGUUACAAUGUUUGCAAAAUGCUAUUAAACAUAGUCUGAUAAAAGUAGUUGGCCAUACACCACCCAGAGAUCGUACAAGUACUCAUGUAUUCAUUAAACACCCAAUUUAUAAAGAUGCUAAAUAUAGUGGUCGUUGGUCGAAUGGUAAGCCUCACGGUUUCGGCAAAUUAGAGUGGGCCGACGGACGUCUGUAUACAGGACAAUUUUAUAAAGGUGUAAUUCAUGGUUUCGGAAAAAUGGAAGUAUCUACUCAAGGAAUAUACGAAGGAGAUUGGAGAGAUGGUCAGCAAAAUGGAUAUGGAUCCUUCAAAUAUAUUAAUGGUGAUGUUUAUGAAGGAUAUUUUAAAGACGGGCUACCUCAUGGACAUGGAGUAAAAAAAGAGGGACACUUUAUGGCAUCUGUUGCUACAGUUUAUGUCGGGGAAUGGAUGCAUGGUGUCAAAAAUGGAUAUGGUGUCAUGGACAAUAUCUUAAGUGGUGAAAAAUAUUUCGGCUUGUGGAGUAAUAAUAAUAAACAUAUUUGUGGAUUAAUAGUAACUUUGGAUGGAAUUUAUUACGAAGGCUCUUUUGUUCAAGGCGUUAUGACAGGUCAUGGAUUAAUGAUUUUUGAAGAUAAAACACAUUAUGAAGGAGAGUUUAAAUCUGUCGGAGUUUUUGGUGGUAAAGGUGUUUUGACAUUUUGUUCUGGCGACGUUUUAGAAGGACAUAUCCAGGGGGCUUGGAAUGAACCAGUAAAAGUAACAGCAACUUUACAAAUUAAAAAAAAUAGUAUCAACGUUGAAACUAAUUCUAGACCACCAUCCUUUGGUAAAUUAUGUGUGCCACCAGAUCAAAAAUGGCAAGCGAUAUUUCGACAAUGUUAUGAACAACUUGGUAUACCCCAAUCAAACGUUCGUAACGCUAAUUCGUCAGCAGAUAAGUCGAUGGAAUUCCAAAGAUUAUGGCAAAAUGUUGCUGUCAUUAUUAAUAAGUCACAUGAAAAAGAUAGAUCUUCAUUGAAAAAUAUAGAAAAAAGAACUAACAAUGAUUUACUUAAUAAAAUUCCACAGUUUGGUAAAGAUAAAAUAACAUUGAAGGAGUUCAACGAAAUUCAUAAUUAUUUGAUCAAUGCAUUUGAAAGCCGUCAUCAUCCUCUUGGUAAACUGUUGAUUGAAAUUUCAUCGGUGUAUACAGCGAGUUAUGGAGGUGUAAGAGUUCAUCCAUUAUUAUUAAGUCACGCUGUGUCAGAACUUCGUAGUAUAACUAUGAGAGUUUAUGAGAUAGUUACAUUAUUUUUUCCCGCACUACCAAAAGAUGAUAAAGGAUGUGUUUUAGAGUCUGAUGAUCAAAGUGAGAGUAAUAAGCGCUACGGGAAUACUGCAUCCAAUUUUGCUUCCUCGGGUGCAUUCAGCGCUGUUUGUACUUUAUGCACUACACAAUAAAAAAGACGACGAUGCAUAUUGGGAGCGAUUGAAAAAGUGGAAUAAACAACCUAUCAUAUCUCUGAUGGCAUUCUUAGAUGUUGAUCAAAAAUUUUGGAGUAAAUCUAAUAUUACAUUAGACAUAAAUAAUGGCGAAACACUUUUUAUUGAGGCAAUUGAAACUUUACAACAACUGAAAACGACUUUUUCACCGUUAGAGAAACUUUUAGUUAUCCGUAAUAC
This 4485-nucleotide unclassified non-coding RNA is filed under the name Cotesia glomerata. RNAcentral's name for it is "alsin, transcript variant X1". Lineage: Eukaryota; Metazoa; Arthropoda; Insecta; Hymenoptera; Braconidae. The record is from RNAcentral.